GAUGAACGCUGGCGGCGUGCCUAAUACAUGCAAGUCGAGCGAACAGACGAGGAGCUUGCUCCUCUGACGUUAGCGGCGGACGGGUGAGUAACACGUGGAUACCCUCCCUAUAAGACUGGGAUAACUUCGGGAAACCGGAGCUAAUACCGGAUAAUAUAUUGAACCGUAUGGUUCAAUAGUGAAAGACGGUUUUGCUGUCACUUAUAGAUGGAUCCGCGCCGCAUUAGCUAGUUGGUAAGGUAACGGCUUACCAAGGCGACGAUGCGUAGCCGACCUGAGAGGGUGAGCGGCCACACUGGAGCUGAGACACGGUCCAGACUCCUAAGGGAGGCAGCAGUAGGGAAUCUUCCGCAAUGGGCGAAAGCCUGACGGAGCAACGCCGCGUGAGUGAGGAAGGUCUUCGGAUCGUAAAACUCUGUUAUUAGGGAAGAACAAAUGUGUAAGUAACUAUGCACGUCUUGACGGUACCUAAUCAGAAAGCCACGGCUAACUACGUG
RNAcentral lists this ribosomal RNA (497 nucleotides) under uncultured bacterium. RNAcentral's name for it is "partial 16S ribosomal RNA". It matches the Rfam family "Bacterial small subunit ribosomal RNA", at positions 28 to 507 of the family's 1533-position model. The record is from RNAcentral.